This 162-nucleotide ribosomal RNA is filed under the name Ochrobactrum sp. NP3. RNAcentral's name for it is "partial 16S ribosomal RNA". It matches the Rfam family "Bacterial small subunit ribosomal RNA", at positions 342 to 521 of the family's 1533-position model. Lineage: Bacteria; Pseudomonadati; Pseudomonadota; Alphaproteobacteria; Hyphomicrobiales; Brucellaceae. The record is from RNAcentral.
CGGGAGGCAGCAGUGGGGAAUAUUGGACAAUGGGCGCAAGCCUGAUCCAGCCAUGCCGCGUGAGUGAUGAAGGCCCUAGGGUUGUAAAGCUCUUUCACCGGUGAAGAUAAUGACGGUAACCGGAGAAGAAGCCCCGGCUAACUUCGUGCCAGCAGCCGCGGU